UUUGAUUUCACAGAAGUGUGAUUGACUUGGAGUUACAUUGUGUUGUUUAAGUGUUCCCUUUAUUUAUAUAUACAUAUAAACAUAUAAACAUAUAUAUGUUUUUUUUCUAAACAAUAUCAACACUAUAGGGUCAUUUGCACACAAAAACGUCAAACAACUGUGGAAGGACCACCAGAGGGCAGGCUGGGCUCAUGGAUAGUAGCCCAACAAGGCAUAGGAGACAAGGUAACCAGAGGCAAUUAAGCACAGCUGACGGUACUAAUGACAUACUCUCCUUCCCCUAUAAGAGAGAGAAUGGAACCAGCAGAGAGGUGGGGGAAACUAUCUCUGGAAGAUGGCCACCGAGAGAGAGAGGAGCUAUCCAGGAAGAACCACUAAGACGAGUGACGCCCAAUUACUUGGUCCGCUCACACAACAAAACAAUCCCCCAGAAUCUGCAAAGCCAGAGGAAAAAGGGUUAGGACCCGCGGUAACCAGGAUUCCUCAGAACAGCACACGUCAACAAACCAGAGCUUUGACACGUCAGAACACUAGGAACCCCGACAGGCCUUGUAUGGAGGUCGUGCCAAUGCUUUGACAUUACGUAAAAACAACAACCAGGAAAAGCCUUGUGAUCAAGAAAGAGCCCUGACGGGUGUCCGUUGAAUUCUCUAAGGCUCUAGAGAAGGGGUAUCGUGUGGCCAACAUCUUUGAAGUGUGGAACUUUUCCAGGAAAUCAGACACUUUUUUUUUUUUAAAGAGUACAUCAAGACCUUCUUGAGAUGCAAGCAAAUGGCACCAGGGUAUCCUGCAUCAGUCACAGAUCACGAGCGCAAAGACGAGUACAUUCAGGACUAUCACGACCGAGAAGGUAUACCUGACAGAAUAGAGGUCAACAAAACCAAAAUAAAUCUGUCAGUUGUAUUUAAACUCGCUUUGGGGCAAACUAUCCCAGAGAAGCAAUAUGCUAACAAUGUCGAUCAUUAAAGACCCCAAAGAAUUUUUGGAAUUAGUUUUUUCGGACCAAUACGAAAUUUCACAUUUUUCAUUCUUGAGUCAAGACAUUGCCCUGGUGCAAUGGAGACGUAACAAGAAGUGGGUUUUACCCCCGGGGAAUGUAAAUGUGUUUCUUGCAGCAUUUACCAUGGCCUAUGGUCGACUUGAACUGUACACGCUCAUGGAACAGUUGCAGAGGCGUGUUCUUUAUCAUGACACAGGCUCAGGCUCUGUGGUCUAUGUAAGCAAACCGGGUGAUUGGAACCCCCCUCUUAGCAACUAUCUGGGUGGUUUAACGAGUGAACUCGAAGAUGUGACCAUAUCACAGAGUGGUCCUCCUGUGGUCCCAAAAGCUAUGUUUUUAGGACUAAAGACAAUCAUGUAGUGUUGAAAGCCAAAGGCUUUUAAAAAAACUAUGAAAAUGCCCCGUGUGUAAACUUGGAGGAAAUCACAUGCUUGGUCGAGGGGUUCAUAAACGACCGGAAUAGUGAAUUGGAAAUUUUGAACUCCUCCUACAAAAAGAUUGUUAGGGAUAAAAAGGUUUUCCAUCUAACAAAAUUGGUGACUGGUUUAAUGCUAAAUUUGGAAAUGCGAUGGGAAAAGUUAUGUUUACUCCUAUACUUGUAGGAGGUUUGGUAAUUUUGGUUACUGUUUAUAUUUAUAAGAAAAUGACUAACUGCUCUUGAACAUGCUGGAAUGAUGGUGUUGGUUGAAGCUGAUACAAAUUAUGCUGAAGGUGAUACUGGUGCAUUUCUGGUUUCUCCUAAUCCCAUUUGUUUAUUCAACUCGUGUGGUUCUUCCCUGGACUCAUGAGGAAUGGGAGUAUAGACAGACUCACCCACCCCCACCAGCAUUCCAGGAACCUCAGGAGUUGUUUCUCCCUUUAGCAGGCCAUCCCUGGGAUCAAAUGGAUCUGGGGGAUUUGCCUAAUCUAUUUGAAUUCAGAGGAGAAUAUUAGGAUUGAAGCUGUGAGACUAAUUUGUCUCUAAGGGGGAAAUGUCAGGGGUUCACCUAGGGGUCAUGAUAGGGGCUGUACCAAAUGUUUGAUGCAUUAUAAUAAUUGAUUAUGCUUAUGUUGAAUUAAUAGAAGGGGAUGGGUCAUAAGACCGCUCCCUCCUUACAUUUAUAGGGUCCUAGACUACAGAUUAACAAUAUUUAUAUUCAUUAUACAGGUUUAAUAUUGUUCCACAGUCUUUUCUAAUCUCUGCAUAUUAUAAAGAAACUGUCUGAGAAAUGUGUGACUGAAGACAGAACUCUGCAGGGGAGUGUAAGAGACUAGUCAGACAUUCAACUAUAAAUCAACUUGGACAUUUAGUGCUAAGCUUUUAGAUAACUCUUGUUUAUAUAGCUAUGUAGGCAUGGUUUGGUCUCAUGAGUAGAAGGUAAUGACGUAGGCAGUUACAUCACAGGGGGUGGACUACAAGCAUUAUAAAAGCAACUUACGCACCUUUUCUAUUUUGCACAACUUACUCAGAAACAUGCAUGCUAUGUUCCUGUUGUCAACUUCUGUUAGCAAUUGUAUUAAAUAAAUGAAUGAUUUUCUUAAAGAUAUUGUCUGAAUGCUAAUUUCACCAAUGAGCCAAUGAUUAACAAGGAACGAACCCCAACACUUGCCUCUGAAGGUAAGCAGGGUUGGUCUUGGUCGGCCCCUGGAUGAGACCAGGGCCUGUAUCCACAAAGCAUCUCAGAGUAGCAGUGCUGAUCUAGCAUAAGUAUUGAAUUUUAGAUCAUAAUAUACUGAAC
This is a long non-coding RNA of Oncorhynchus tshawytscha (Chinook salmon), 2718 nucleotides long. NCBI's taxonomy places the organism in Eukaryota, Metazoa, Chordata, Actinopteri, Salmoniformes, Salmonidae. The record is from Ensembl.